CAGCUGCCUGAGAGUGCUCCUGAGGACCCCGACAGCUGGGACAGCAUCUUUGGGGACAUUGAACGAAUCAUCAUGCCUGGGGUGGUACAUUGGCAGAGCCCCCAUAUGCACGCCUACUACCCAGCCCUCACCUCUUGGCCCUCCCUGCUAGGAGACAUGCUGGCUGAUGCCAUCAACUGCUUGGGAUUCACCUGGAGCACGGUCAGUGAAUCCACUUUGAUUGCCCUGCUGGCAGCAAGGAAGAACAAAAUCCUGGAAAUGAAAACGUCUGAGCCCGAUGCUGAUGAGUCCUGCCUAAAUGCCCGACUCGUGGCCUAUGCCUCUGACCAGGCUCACUCCUCUGUGGAAAAGGCUGGUUUGAUUUCCCUUGUGAAGAUGAAAUUUCUGCCUGUGGAUGACAACUUCUCACUCCGAGGGGAAGCUCUUCAGAAGGCCAUCGAGGAAGACAAGCAGCGGGGCUUGGUGCCCGUCUUUGUCUGUGCAACACUAGGGACCACUGGGGUCUGUGCAUUUGACUGCCUGUCAGAGCUGGGCCCCAUCUGUAAGUAUCUUCCCUCUCUGGCUAGGAAGACAAGGAAUACAUUUUUAAAUGUCUCCUAAAGCAAGGACCUGAAACCAGCUCUAUGGGAUUAUUCUUGUUCCUCUUUGGUCAAUGCAGAGACAUGGGAAGAACCACCAAAGGUCAUGAGGGUCUCUUCCAGGGAUCCCUGGACAUUGCCUUUCCCAGUGGUGUGACAAGAGUUAGAGGUGGCCUACCUUGCCUUCUGUCCUAGGAGGCGACAGUAGGAGAGCCUUCAGUUUUCUCAUCCUCUUACUUGUAUGUUGAACUUUACUUAAUGCAGGCUAUAUCCAAAAUACAGUGUGAAUUAGGCUAGAAUAGAAAUGCUUUCUAUUCUACCUUCAGAAAAGGAAAAGGGUAGGGUAGGGGAAAUCAUGGGAGAGAUUAAAGGCAGAGAGGAAACCCAGAUGGGACUGUUUAAUCCCCAAGCAAGAAACCACUAGGAAAGAGAGAUACCU
This 1017-nucleotide small RNA is filed under the name Pan troglodytes (chimpanzee). RNAcentral describes it as "retained intron". The record is from RNAcentral. Lineage: Eukaryota; Metazoa; Chordata; Mammalia; Primates; Hominidae.